GAUGAACGCUGGCGGCGUGCUUAAUACAUGCAAGUCGAACGAAGCACCUUGGACAGAAUCCUUCGGGAGGAAGACCAUUGUGACUGAGUGGCGGACGGGUGAGUAACGCGUGGGUAACCUGCCUUGUACAGGGGGAUAACAGUUGGAAACGACUGCUAAUACCGCAUAAGCGCACAGUACCGCAUGGUACGGUGUGAAAAACUCCGGUGGUACAAGAUGGACCCGCGUCUGAUUAGCUUGUUGGUGAGGUAACGGCCCACCAAGGCGACGAUCAGUAGCCGACUUGAGAGAGUGAUCGGCCACAUUGGGACUGAGACACGGCCCAAACUCCUACGGGAGGCAGCAGUAGGGAAUAUUGCACAAUGGGGGAAACCCUGAUGCAGCGACGCCGCGUGAAGGAAGAAGUAUUUCGGUAUGUAAAACUCUAUCAGCAGGGAAGAUAAUGACGGUACCUGACUAAGAAGCACCGGCUAAAUACGUGCCAGCAGCCGC
This 492-nucleotide ribosomal RNA is filed under the name uncultured bacterium. Its description in RNAcentral is "bacterial SSU rRNA". It matches the Rfam family "Bacterial small subunit ribosomal RNA", at positions 28 to 518 of the family's 1533-position model. The record is from RNAcentral.